UAAUGAUUGCGAAUCGCUGCCUUUGGUGCUGGCUCUUGCAAGUGCACAUUGGUGGCUUUCAUCCAAUACCCUUGUGAACCAUUGGCCUCUUGCUAGCUUCGGCUUGCAGAGGAUUUUUUACACUCACACUCGAAUGUAAUGAAUACUAUUGUCGUGCGCAAGCACUAAUGUACAACUUUCAACAACGGAUCUCUUGGCUCUCGCAUCGAUGAAGAACGCAGCGAAAUGCGAUAAGUAAUGUGAAUUGCAGAUUUCCAGUGAAUCAUCGAAUCUUUGAACGCACCUUGCGCUCCUUGGUAUUCCGAGGAGCAUGCCUGUUUGAGUGUCAUUAAAUUCUCAACCAUGUCUUGAUCGAUUUCGAGCAACAUGGCUUGGAUUUGGGAGUUGCUGGCGACGAAAGUCGUCGGCUCUCCUUAAAUGCAUUAGCAAAGGGUUCUGCAAAGCAAUUCAAUUCAGACGUGCACGGCCUUUUGACGUGAUAAUGAUCGUCAUCGCUGGAGCGUCGAGGGUUUAAACUGUUGCUUUUGUAGAAAACAAAGCUCUUUGCUUCCAAUUCAGACCAUCAUGUGAUUCAGUUCUGAAAGGCAAAGGCAGGCUUAUUAGUCUUUGGGCUGGUUAUUAGUCAAUGAAUGUUGGCGAAAGCAGCGCGAUGGCGAAAGGCUAGCCUCGAGCUUGAAUCGAAUCGAAUUGGUGUUCAUCUUUUGAAACUUG
RNAcentral lists this unclassified non-coding RNA (711 nucleotides) under Boletaceae sp. 3 CG-2012. Its description in RNAcentral is "sequence contains ITS1, 5.8S rRNA gene, ITS2". The stretch from base 174 to 328 matches the Rfam family "5.8S ribosomal RNA". Lineage: Eukaryota; Fungi; Basidiomycota; Agaricomycetes; Boletales; Boletaceae. The record is from RNAcentral.